Molecule: RNA transcript, 5231 nt
Organism: Lolium rigidum
Lineage: Eukaryota; Viridiplantae; Streptophyta; Magnoliopsida; Poales; Poaceae
Gene name: U-box domain-containing protein 12
Exons: 6
Source: RefSeq, a predicted model, not a curated record
AUGGCCGCCGCGACGGUGGCCGCCGAGAUCGCCGCGCUCCCGGAGCCGCGGGGCCCCCUGCGCCGUCUCUGCGGAGACCUCGCGCGCCGUGUCCGCCUCCUCGCCCCGCUUCUCGACGACCCGUCCUCCGCGCCCGCGCCCGCUUCCUCGACCCCUCUCGCCGACGCCCUCCGCGCCGCGCGCGACCUCCUCCACUCCGUCAACCACGGCAGCAAGAUCUACCAGGCCACGCGAGGCCGGGACGGUCUCCUCCGCGACUUCGCCGCCGUCAACAGGCAGAUCCAGGAGGCGCUAGACCAGCUUCCCUACCACGCCUUCGACAUGCCCGAGGAGGUGCAGGAGCAGGUCGCGCUCGUGCACUCCCAGUUCAAGAGGGCCGCCGCGAGGGCCACGGCGGACCCGCCGGACGCGCAGCUCGCCAGGGACCUGGCCUGGGCGCUCGCCGGCGACAAGCCCUGUUUCCCCGCGCUCCUGGGGAGGGUCUCGGAGAAGCUGCAGCUGGAGACCAUGGCGGACAUGAAGAAAGAGUCCGUGGCUUUGCACGACAUGGUCAUUUCCAGCGGGGGCGAACCGGAUGGGUGCGUCGAGGAGAUGUCGUCCUUACUCAAGAGGCUCAAGGACUGCGUGAUCACUCAAGAGCCCGCGUCCGAGGCUCUCGCCGGCGGCAGGUCUUCCUCUAUAAAGCAUAGGUCUCCCAUCAUCCCGGACGAAUUCAGAUGCCCCAUUUCGCUCGAGCUCAUGCAAGACCCCGUCAUCGUCUCUAGCGGCCAGACGUACGAACGAUCCUGCAUCCAGAAGUGGCUUGAUUCCGGACACAAGACCUGCCCUAAGAUGCAGCUGCCCCUCACACAUACUUCCCUCACCCCAAACUUUGUCCUCAAAAGCCUGAUUGCGCAGUGGUGUGAAGCCAACGGUAUCGAGCUUCCCAAGAACAAAGCCAACUUCCAUGACAAGAAAGUGGUCAAAAGUUCAGACUAUGACAAUGCUGGUCUGGUCUCGCUGAUGAGUAGGCUGCGCAGUGUGAACCAGGACGAGCAGCGGGCAGCUGCAGGGGAGAUCCGGUUGCUCGCAAAGAGAAAUGUGAACAACCGCAUAUGCAUUGCUGAAGCGGGAGCGAUUCCCUUGCUCGUCAAUCUGCUCUCCUCUUCCGAUCCAAGAACGCAAGAACAUGCUGUCACGGCACUCCUUAAUCUCUCCAUCCACGAGAAUAACAAGGCAGGCAUCGUGGACUCCAAUGCUAUCCCUAAGAUAGUGGAAGUGCUGAAAACCGGGAGUAUGGAAGCCAGAGAGAAUGCAGCAGCCACACUAUUUAGCCUGUCAGUUGUGGAUGAGAACAAAGUAACUAUUGGCGCCGCUGGUGCGAUACCUCCACUCAUCAAUCUUCUGUGUGAUGGCAGCCCAAGAGGCAAGAAAGAUGCAGCAACGGCAAUUUUUAAUCUGUGCAUAUACCAGGGCAAUAAGGUCCGGGCGGUGAAAGCUGGAAUCAUCGUCCAUCUCAUGAACUUCCUGGUGGAUCCUACCGGGGGAAUGAUUGAUGAGGCACUCACUCUUUUGGCAAUUCUUGCCGGUAACCCAGAUGGCAAGGCUGUAAUCACGCAAUCAGAGCCAAUGCCCCCACUUGUUGAGGUCAUCCGAACUGGGUCUCCUCGCAAUAGGGAGAAUGCUGCAGCCAUUCUAUGGUCUCUUUGUUCUGCUGAUGCUGAGCAAAUCAUGGCUGCAAAGGCAGCUGGAGGGGAAGAUGCACUGAAGGAACUGUCAGAAACUGGCACAGAUCGUGCAAAAAGGAAAGCUUCUAGCAUCCUUGAACUCAUGCGCCAAAAGGAAGAGGCGUGAACCAGACACCAUAGUUUUGUUGAAAUCUGAGAACAGGAAAUUCUACAUUAGAGGAAGUGAAAAGGAGACCGGAAGUUGUUUUCUUCUUGGUCAGCUAUGUACUUUUGGGUGAUGCGUUGGGUGGCUUCAUUUGAAGUAAGCUCCUUCUCAGAAAACUCUUAUUACAUGUAGUUUCUAUUUUCAUCAUUCUUGUGGAAAAUCACAAGUACACCAUCUAUUACUAGGUUAAUGUAGCUUAGCUUCUUUAUAGUUUAGUCCCAUAUCAUGGAGCUAUAUAAUACUGUAUCAUCUAAUACAUCGAAACAACACUCUCUCUUGAUAAUUAAGUUGCGGUGCGACAGAAUAUUAGUCCAUUCUAGGCGAGUUAUAUAUAAUCAUCAUUUUCUGAGUCUACAUGUAAGGAAUCUUUUGUGGGCGGCGUAUUCGGUGCAUUGAGGACCACGGUGCAGUGUUUGUUUAAUUCACAUCAACUGCGGUAUAUGUUAGGAUUAAGAAAAAAAGAAAAAAAAGUACUUAAAAAAAUCCUGCAUUUUCCCUUUUGUGCAUCUAAGAUUUUCGCUAAUGUUGCAUACGUGGGUAGAGCAUAGAAUCAGACAGUAAACAGUUACUGACUUGCUAUUAUUCAAUGGAAUCAAACAAAGCGAUGGUGUCAUUGCAUAUGCAACUUAAUUUGUUUUGACCAUCUCAAGUUCUACAAAAGGAAACUGUUUGCAAUCUGAAGAUUCAGAACAGCUCUUGAACACUGAGCUGGCUAUAUGCUGGGGUGUGCAGAGAGAAGUGAAUAAUCCAUGAACUCAAAUCAGCAGUUCUGCUCUGAACAAAAUGUAGACAGAAGAUGGAAACCAUACAGUGAACCAACAAAGCAAGACGGUGCGGCACGUGGAUCGUGUCUCAUAAUUCGGUGGUGGAUACUUUGCAUUUGCAAGCUAUUAGUGCUUUAGAAGAAAUAAAAAGAACAAAGGUUCAAAGGGGCAAAACAUUAGAGAGUAGCGGCAAGAUGUGUCCACUUCACCAGCAGGAUAUAUAUCAUCACCAUAUUAUUAUGACAUCUGAAAUACACAACAUGUUGUGACCAUAACUGGAUGUCUAGGAAUGUCGUCCGCAGAAUGUAGUCUUUUCGGUCCACGUCAGUCGUGUCUUAGCAUUCUUUUAUUCUUUUUGAGAACUGUAGAAGAUCUGGUUCUUUAUGAGGGCAAUGAGCUUAUAUAAUAUUUUGUUGGGUAUCAUGCUGCCCAUGUGGGGACAAGUGUCCUGCAUUGGUUUCCCUGCAAUUACAGUCAAUACCAGCAGAAAGCCAUUUCCACUGCCUAAAAACACUAAUGGGACAAACUUCUUCAGCUGGCAUGGGGCACCAUGUUCCUCUGCGAAAAACAGGGUGGAUUGUUUGCAGCUCUUGCUAAGACCAUUGCUCUUCAACGGAAAUCUCUGAAGCAUUAGGUUGUGGUGAGUAAAACUGUAAAACAGAAUGUAAUUACUAGUUGUGCUCUGUUUCUAUAAGAAAUGACCAUCUACUUUUAGCCACCCAGGAAAGAUCAAUCCGCAGUUAUUGUUCGCAUCACUUAUACUGAACUUCUAUGCAUCUGUCUCAAUCCUCAGCCUUUUUGAUGCUAUUUUUAGGUUCAUUUGGUUUCAUGCCAUUUCAUCUAUGUAGCUACACAUUAUGCAUGGUACCUUGUAGGCUUGUAGCCUCCACAUCAUUUACUUAGUGAGACUAGAGCUGCACAAACAAUAAAAAAACCCAGCCAUCUCCCUACACUACAGUAUGUCAGUAUAGAGCACCAACAUGGAACAUGGAGUAGCCCAGGGGGUCUGUUUUCAUGCAUCUUCACAUGGCCAACACACUUCUGAGCUAAUCAUACGUGUCCAUGUCAUUUGCUCGCUUAAUCUAUCUAAUCUCAUAUGUCUUUGCCCCCCUUAGACCAAUAAUCAAUGACACUUCAUGCGUGAUGACUGAUGACACAGCUAAGAUCUAAUCCUCGCACUAAAACAAUCAAGCAAGUUGGCUGAAGAGAUCUAGAUGCUGGUCUGGUAGUAGUGUUCAACUCUGUACUUUGACCCCAACCGCAUGUACCUAAUCAAGAUUCCUGUAUUUGGCUACAGCCAGAACAUGCAUUGUGAUAUUAUUCUAUUUCCACAUGUGCUGUUAACUAGUGCUAAUUCCAGCUUAGCAAGGCGCUCCCCAUUGGCUCCGCGCAUCAUGUUGCUACAAUUAUAUGAUAGUAGAUGUCACUUACUAUUUAAUCUCUUCUCUUUGAUGAUAUCAAAGUGGAUCUGGAUUGGUUGCAGUUGCAAGUUGGGAGCAAAAUAUCAAUCGGAGCAGACCGUCCGAUUUGGAAAUCAAGGACCAAGAUCCAAUUCAGCAGCUUGGUUGUGACUGGAGAGAUCUGAUGGCCCACGUUUGAUCUUGUGCGAUGAUUAGUUGUUUCAAUGCCUUCCCUGACGACCUGUUUUGUCGCUUAGUUUGGAGUGAAUCCCUGUAUAUAAAGGCUAUGCAUAUGUGGGAGUAAGCUAUUUGUUGUUGUACCUGCUAGUUAGCUUCAUCAUCUGAACCUGAGAAGAAGAAUGGUGCACAUUGCCGACCCUGCGGGCGCUGUAGUGGUUGGUUGCAAGGUCCUGCCCAUCUUCAAUGAGAACGGCAUUGUCGACGGUGCGGUGAAGAAGAUUGUGCACAGGCUCGACGGGAAGAAGGCGGUCGCUCGGGUGAAGGAGCUCUUGAGGUGGGCCUCUCAGGUCAGGCCUCUCAGCACCAGCGCCAGUGGAAAGAAAUGGAAGCAGGUUCUGAGCUUCCCGGGUAGGGAUGGUGGUGGAACGAAGUGUGAUGAGGCGAGCUCUGGCAAGCUGAGCUUCAAGUGGGAGGCAGGCAGCUGCUCGUCGGUGGCAUCAUCGUCGGUGCUCUACUCGCCAGUGUCGUUCGCAUCUGCGCCAGCUGCAAGGACGACAACGGAGCAGCUGCACACCCCGUCGAGGAAUUACGUGUCGAGGUUGUCAUCGGUGAGCCAGAAGAGCUCAUCAUCGUCGCAGGCAUGCAGCCGGAUGGCACAGUGGAUCACCACGGAUUCAGACUUUGUGGUGUUGGAGCUGUAAGUUAGUGACAAUUAGGAGGAUGGAGGAGGCAGGAGGCAGGCGGCAGCAGCAGCAGGAGAGGGAAGGCAAGGCAUGCAUGUCUAUGUGGAGCUGAGAAUGGCAAAUUGUAUUAGCAAGCAUUAAGAGAUCGAGAUCUGAAGCUAAACUUAGUGUUAGUUAGGGGAGGAAGCUUAAGCUAGAUAGCAGAUGUGUGAGUCAGGCAGACAGAGAUGCAGUUGAUGAAGUUGACUAAAAUGUUGGCAGUUGCGAAAUUCAGUUUUAAGUGUAUAUAUAUGUUAUGUUUGCCUUGUGAUUGAUGAUCAAGAUGACUAGUA